GCAAAUGUCAGAAUUAAGAAAAUCAUCAUAGGCCUUGUGAUUUAAUUGGACGCCAUUGAAUUUUUGUCUUGUACUUGUUUUGUUUUAUUAGUAAGGGAUUUCAUUGUGGUUGUUUCAAAUAGUAUUCUGGUACUGGUGUCGAGAAUCAGUAAUAAAUUAUAGUGAUCAGUAUUUGAUGGGACUUAUUAUAUAUAUAUAUAUAUACCUAGCCAGCAUAUCAACUUUUGUUUUCGACUCUGCACCUUUCCUGGCCAAGUUGCAAUGGGCUGCAUCGAAAGCUUUCUAAUUAGUCUAUUUAUUUCCUUCUUCAAGUGACAUAGAUGCUUUCUAAAAUAUCUUUCUGACAAGAAUAAGGAACACAUAGCCCUAGUUGGAUGGAAUAGAUUUACUGAUCUGCCAAAAGAUGAUGGCACCGCUAGUGAUUUGAAAUCGAAAUGGGGUGGGUUACUUGGACUAUGACUUUGUCCCACACCAAUUAUAUUAAAUGUUAAAUAAAAAUUUAUUUUAAUAAUUUUUUUUUUCAUUUUUAGCUUUAUAUAUAUAAUAUUUAUUUACUUAUAAAUUGUGUUUAGUUUUAAUAGAAUUUAAUAUUUUAAAAGUAAAAUAAUCAUAAAAAUUUUGAGACAAUUAAAAAAUAAAAAAUUAAAUGGGACGAAGUGGGUAUAGGAAUUUCCUACACCCAUCCCCCUUCCCUUGGCCUGUUUAAAAUUUUUUUGUUAGUAGGGAUGAAAAUUGAUUUAAAUAAAUAUGACAGAUUUGGGAUGAGGUGACUUGUUCUGAACUUGGUCAAUUGUCAUCCUUACUAAUGAUAAAAAAAGAACAACUUAUAACAAGUUCCCAUAUGUCAGUGCUAUGAGAAGAAAUUUAGUAUUGAACGUCUCAUUUUUGUGAUAAAGUUGCCUCAAAUCAAAGUCUUUGAAAUUGGUUAGAAUAUAUUGAAGAUCAAGUUUCACAUCAUAUGAAAUGUAAUAAAGUUAUAUAGGGAAUUUUGAUCUAAAUUAAUUCUGCUUUAAUCAUUCAUAUACAUUAUCCAUUUCUUAUUAAUUUAAAUAACAUUCUUAAAUAUCUUGUAAGAGAGGAGGUUAUACUUGAAAAUAGACCUGAUUAAUAGAUCAAUCAUGCAGGGAUAUUGAUCUAUUCUAUUCUAAUAUGUAAAAGAAUGAAAUGUUUUCCAAUUUGUUGUACCAAAAUGUCUUAUAAUAUUUUUAUCUUUAUACUUUUAUAGUAUGAUCUUCUUACUAAUUAAGUAAUUAAUUUUCAUCCUAUGUCAACUGAAGUUAUUCCUAAGUUAAGGCAUUGUUUGGACACUAUUUAUUUUGAUCCUGCUAAAGAUGUGAGCCCUAAACACGAACGAAUAUAACUAAUAUUCAAUAUAUUUGUAGAGAGAUGAACAAGCAGUUUGCUAAGAUUUGUUAAAUGGAAAAUAAGCCAAUAUCAAUAAAGAUUGUAACAAGAUUAAUGUUUAUGUCCUUUAGUGGAUUGGACAAGAUAUAUAUGCUUUGGUUGCCCAUGUAUAGAUUGCAUUUUUAGGCUAUGCUCGAUUUUGGGAAAAUUUGAAGGAAAUAAAAUAGGAAGGAAAGGUGAAAGAAAAUAAGAAAUAGAUUUCAAAUCAAUAAAAAAAAAUUAUAUGCUUCUUUAAACUCAUUUAAGUUAUUUUAUUUUUUUAUUAUAUAAAGAUCAAGGAUGAAAAUUUCCAUAUAUACCAACAAAAUAUGGUCGAUAUAUUGCAUAUCAACGGUCAUAGAAUCGAAACAGGGUAUUGAAAUGUCAACCAGGAAAAAUUUCCAAAAAAGAUCGGCAUAUAUCGACAAUUACCGAUAAAUCGGCAAAAUCAAGAAAGAAUCAUCGAUAUUUGAGUGAAAUUUGAACAAUAAAUUGCCAACUUUUAAAGAAAAAUCACUGUGUGAAGGGGAAACUUUAAAAAAGAAAAAAGAAAAAAGAGAUUAAUCAUAGGUGAUUUUGACUUCGAUUCCAUCUUUUAAUUAAAGGCAAAAUUAUAAAAUUAUCUUAAACAAACUCUUAAUUAUAGAAGGUCAAAUCCGAAAAGUUAGAUUUCAAAGGAAACACGAAUCUCAUUUUCCUUGUCCAGGAAGUAUACAACUACCCUAUUCUUUUUUUUCUUGCUCACUUUAGUAAUUUUGAGCCAUUCAUAAUUUAUUAUUCUUUCCUAUGUUUGUUUCAAUUAUAAGAAUUCUCGGACUCAACUCUCACUUUCAUCCAUUUCGUUUUCUUUUCAAGGACCGGACCGGUCUUACCACGCUGAUUGAUAUGAGAAGGAAUGGAACUUUGUUGUUCUUUUUUUUACUUUUAUGAAUUGAGCUAAAAUUAUGCGAUUGAAUUUUUAGUAAGUUAAAUUAAGGGUUGGUUUGGGAUCAUUUCUUAUUUUUUAUUUUACGCCAAACUUGUAGUUGAAGUUCAUAAUUUUUAAAAAGUAAUAUUAGUAAUUUUUUUUAUUAAACAUAAAAAAAUUUCUUAUAUAAGAUUAAAUAAAACUUUUAUAAAAAGUAGCAUUUUUAAAAUUUUUAUAUUAAUCUUUUUAAAAAUUUGCAAGCUUGAAUAAAGUUAUCUAAAUUAGUAUAAAAGCUCUAAUUAAAUUUAUAAGAGUUUCUUAGAAUUGCAUCCAAACAUAACUUAAAUAAGUAUGUUAAAGUUAAAUUUUGAUACACUCAUUUGCUGAAGUGAUCUUUCAGAUGGUAGGGAUGGGUUCUUUGUCAUUUUUUUUUAUGAUGACACAAUAAGACUUUAUUCCUUAUCAUUUUCAUGUAGCUUCAUAAUAAGUGUACACUUGCAAAAUUCACAUUUCUAAUCGAUUGAUAUGAUACAAUUAAAUUUAAUAUCACAAAUCAUAUUAUACAUAUAUCAAAUUAUUUAACAAAACAACUUUAAAAUAUUUAUUAUACUUCUAAUUACAUUUUUAUGAGAUUUUUCUUACAUUUCUAUGAAUUUUGAUCAAUUUUAGGCAUAUGACCGAUUUUUUUCCCAAAAUAUCCGCUAAUAUAUUUUUGAUAUAUUUAUGAUUACCGAUAUUUUCAUUCUUGAUAAAGAUUAAAUAAUUUUCAAAUACUUAAAUUUAUAAUUAAUUUUAAUUAUAUUUGAUUUUAUUUCCUAUUUUUAAUAAUGAAAUCAAAUAUAAGAAAACCAUUUCUCUUAAAUUUUUUUUCUUUUUUCAGUAUUUUUUAAGAACCAAACAUAGCCUCGGUGUAUUAAUUAUAUUGUUUUAGGUCUAAGAAUAUUGUAUUGGUUCGUAAAACCCCACACCACUAAAUCAUAUAAAUAUGAAUUUGAUGCCAUGUAAAUUUGUUUGUCUUUAAUAUAUAUGGCUGAGAUUAGAUAUGAUGUUUGUGGAUAUUUUACUCCUAAAUUUCUAUUUUUAAUAUAUAUAUAUAUAUAGUUGAACUUUUUGCCAUCCAAUUUGUAUAGUUGAAAUAAGAGAUGACACUGCUGAUAUUACUCUCAAGGCCAAGAACCUAUCCUAUCAUUACCGUAGAUCACUUAAUUGAUACAUACUUUUCUUUGCGUUUUUCUUCAUUUUAUCUAAAAACGAGGGGAGAUCAAAUUAAGAAGGUGUAAUUGAUUAAACAUACCUCUAGCGGACACACAUAGAAGAAAAUGGCAAGCUUUAUACAUCAAUAUGAGGAAACUUCUUCUUUCUAUCUACAUUCCUUAUCUCUUCUUCUUCCCUUGUUGGUCUUCACAUGCGUCUUCAUCAAAUGUAUUUAGAGUACUAGCCCUCCAAUCACAAAAAAAAAAAAAAAAAAGCUACCUCCUCCUCCAAAGUUCCCAAUAAUUGGAAACCUCCACCAACUCGACUCACUAUCUCAUCGAUCUCUAUGGUCCAUGGCUUAGCGACAUAGCUCCUUUAUGCAACUCCAUUUUGUAGCCUUCUAGUGGUUAUCAUCUUCUUUGCGGAGGCAGCAAAAGAGAUCAUGAAGACUCAAGAUGUCUUUGCUGGGCUAAGUUUGUUCUCAUGAAAGCUUCUUAAGCCCAUAUAUGAAGUUAUUUUAUAUUUGGGUAUUUUCUAAGCCUAUAUAUAAAUAGCAUUAGGGAUUUGGUAUGAGGGGAGAAGGGGGUGAUUAAGAAAAUGAGAGGAAAUUAGGUUUGUUUUAUGAGUACUGUUCUAGGGCUCAAGGGUGAAGUUACAUGUUCUUUCAUCAACCUUUUGGGAAAAUCCCUGUGGUAUGAUUUUUUUUCCUGAUCUCUUUCUGUUCAUUGUUUUUUAAGGUGAUGGAUUCCUACCUCAAGUAUUGAGAUAUAUUUAUAUAAGUUUUCAAAGUGAAAAAACUAGUGACGACUUGAUUAUUUAUAUCCUCAUUUUAUUGAAGUGGAAUAAAUUUUCUCCAUGGUUUUUUACUUUGGAGGGUUUUUCCACAUUAUAUUUGGUGUCCUUUUUUUGGUUGAAUUUUCUUGGAUUAUCAUUCUUGAUUCUUGCUAAGUUAUUAUUGUUGUUAAGUGGUGGUUGUUAUUAUGGAAUAAUCUUUUAACAUUGAUAGGUGAAUACUCUAGAUCUCUCCCUUUAACUUCUCAAUGAGUGGUAUUAGAGUCUCGUUCUGGGAACUUUUAUUCUUGAAAAGGAUGGAAAUAGAAGGGAACUCAAACUCCAUGAUAAAACUUAACAAUUCAAAUUGAGUUAUGUGGAAGUCCAUGAUGAAAGAUAUUUUAGAUACUCUUGAGUGUAAAGAAGGCAAGCCCAAAACAUAUUUCUAAUUUGGAAUAGAAUAAGAUGAACAAAAAGGCCAUGGUCUAUAUUAGGCGAUAGAUUGGCACAUCUUAACAUCAUCAUGCGGAAAAUGAAACAAAUGGCUAUAAUCUCUAGAAGAAAUUGGAGUCAAUUUUUGAACAAAAAUCUAUUGGGAAUCAAAUUUUCUUGUUAAAGAAGUUAGUGAAUAUGAAGUUAAAGGAAGGAACACUAAUGACAAAUCACUUGAAUGCUUUUUAGAGUAUUGUAAAUCAGUUGGUUUCUAUGAGAAUGAUUAUGGAUGAUGAGAUGCAAGCCUCUUUGUUAUUGUGUUCACUACUAGAUAGUUAGGCAACUUUUGUUGUCAUUAUUAGUAACUCUGUUUCAAAUGGUGCAUUAUCUAUGGAGCUUGUGAAGGGAAAUUUGUUGAAUGAAGAGACUAGAAAGAAGGCAUAUGACAAAAAAAAAUGCACAAUCCCUCAUCAUAGAAAGUAGAGGAAAAAACAAGAAUAGAAGAUUGAAGGUCAUGAAAAGUUCGAAGGGAGGUCCCAGUCCAAAGAUAAAAUCAAAUGUUUCCAUUGUGGAAAAGAGGGACAUAUGAAAAGAAAUUGUCGGAUUUGGAAAAGGGAACAAAAUAGGUAGAAUAAGAAAAAAGAGAAUGAUAAGAAUAUCACAACCAUUAUGUUCAAUAGUGAUGAAGUUUUAGUGCUCUCAAAUGAGUUUUUGCAUGUAGAUGAGCAAUGAGUUGAGUGGAUUGUAGACAUUGCAACCUCGUAUCAUGCUACUCCUCACUUCGAGUUGUUUUAUGACUAUAGAGUUUGAGACUUUGGCACAAUCAAGAUGGGAAACUCUAGUCACUCUAGGAUUAUAAGGAUGGGUGAUGUUUGCUUUGAAACCAAUAUUAUGGGGUGUAAGUUGACAUUGGAAGAUGUAAGGCAUGUUCCAGAUUUACGCUUUAAUCUGAUGUUAGGUUUUGCUUUGGACAAGCAAGGUUAUGAAACACUUAUAAGCCUAUACUAUCCAUGAACCAACAAUCAUUUUCAAGAACACACAUCCACACCUAGAGAAUAAUACGAUUUUUCCAUAUUCCUUCAAAUACACAUAAUUCACUUGCUUUCUCAUUUAAAAUAUUGAUGAUUACAUGAACAUAAGCUACACAAGAUAAAUGUUUUGAGUUGAGGAUCACUAAGUUGGCCUUUACAACAUAAGAGAUGUCCCAAUCUUCCAAUUGAGGCUUUUUACUCUUGAAGCACUACUAAGGUGUCAUAAUCAUUAUGGGAAACCUAAUUUUUUCUUUCCUUUCUUUUUUCUGUUUUUAUUUUUACUAAAAGAGAGGGCAAACAAUCAAGGAAGAAAAAAGCUCAAAGACUUAAGGAGAUUCUGGGUGACUUUGCUCACUCUUUAAUACUUACUAGAUAGAUAUAAGCUUGCAUUUAGACUAUAAAGAGCAUUACUCACCCUUUAUAUAACCACAAGCUCCAACAAUAAACUUUUACUCACUUAGAAGAUAUGUUGUUAAUCUUCUUUAGCUUAUCUAAUCAAAUCAAUUUAGCAAAGACUCAAAAUCAUGCUCAUCAAUCAACCCAUGGACAUGAAUAAUUCUUGAUUCUUUUAAGAUCAUUAUGAGUCAAUCUAACUUUUAUAUAAGAGGAAUAACCAUGUCACUCAUAUGGAUUUAUCAAUUUAAAAGAUCUCCCAACACAAAUUAUAUAAUUUUAGAAUUUUUCACAAUUUUUCCUUUUCUCUUCAAAUACUUUCCAAUAUAAAGUAAAGAUUAAAUGCAAGCAUGAAUGCAACAAUACUCUCCCAACAAUUUUCAAAUGUAAGUCAUAUGCGAAUGCAUUAACACUCCCCAACAUAGUUCAUAAGAAAAUUUUCUCAUUAACACAAGUUUUCAUUUCUAUUGAAUAACUCUAUCCAAAAAAUAUAUAUAUCUAGGAUAUCCAACUAAGAUCACACCUAAUUGUUCUUCUAUUCAACUUAUAUCCAUAAUUAUUAAAUGAAAAACUAAAACUGAAAAUACAUCAAGGAGUAGAAUAAGAAAAAGAGAGACAGUGAUACUAGAAUUUACGUGAAAGACCUCCAAAGAGAUUAAAAACCAUAGGCCUACAACUGAUAAAAAAUUCCACCAUGAAGAACAAGCAAUGUGUAUAAGGAUUUACUUAACUCAAGUACUCUAAUCAUUCACGGACUACUUGGCCAACACCUUCACAUUUCAGUUGCAUACCUUCAUCUUCUGAAACAUACUCAACAUCCUCACCAAGCUUGAUAUCGACAUUUUCUUGAAGCUCACUCAAGAAGAAAAUAGGUUUUCACCAAAACCCAAAUAGUUUGGAAAUUAGGAGAUGAAUGAACGAAGGAAUCAACCUUUUUUUUUCCUCAAGGAAAAUAACUAAAAACAACUUAAAAAUCAAGAAGAAAAUGAGAUUUUCUUGACAACGAAACACUCUAAAUAAGGUUAGAAGAAGAAAGCACACAAGGGAACGACUGCUGGUGACUCUCCUAUUUCAGGAAGCAAUUUUUGCUUUUUAAGUGAAAAGAAACCCUUGAUCCAAUGAAUGAAAUAAGAUAAAAAAAAAAAAAAAUAGAAACCUAAAUCGAUCUAACUUGAAGCCAAAUUGAUCUUGAAAAAUGACAUAUUGAAUACUUAGAAAAAAAAAAAAAA
RNAcentral lists this long non-coding RNA (7340 nucleotides) under Vitis vinifera (wine grape). RNAcentral's name for it is "long non-coding RNA (VVIN_LNC006645)". The record is from RNAcentral. Lineage: Eukaryota; Viridiplantae; Streptophyta; Magnoliopsida; Vitales; Vitaceae.